Long non-coding RNA from Salvelinus namaycush (lake trout), 418 nucleotides. RefSeq lists it as uncharacterized. The record is from RefSeq and is a predicted model, not a curated record. NCBI's taxonomy places the organism in Eukaryota, Metazoa, Chordata, Actinopteri, Salmoniformes, Salmonidae. The transcript is spliced from 3 exons.
AGGAGAUAGGCUCCUGUUCCAUGACCAGUUCUGGGUCAAACAAGGCUACUACUUACUCUGGCUACAAUCAAGGGUCACGGGGAUACAACCAAUGAACUGCAAGAAAACCAGUAUCUGGUUGAAGAGGUUGACUAUUCACCCGAGAGCAGGAGCCCCACAUUGUAAAUAUGAUCAUUGCAAAUAACUGCAUCAGACGCAGAGAACUGCAGGACCACAUAAUGGCAGAUAACACCAUAUUCCAAAACGUCAGCAGAGUCAUGGAGCUAGAAGCAGAUGCAGUGCAUCAUGAGCUAAUAUAUGUGGACGAGGCAGGUUUCAACCUUGCAAAAACAAGGGGCCGUGGCAGAAAUAUCAUCAUACACCGUGCCAUCAUCAACGUCUUGGGACAACGUGGUGACAACAUAACAAUGUGUGCCAC